RNAcentral lists this long non-coding RNA (205 nucleotides) under Lathyrus oleraceus (garden pea). RNAcentral describes it as "Pisum sativum (pea) long non-coding RNA (PSAT_LNC023592)". The record is from RNAcentral. Lineage: Eukaryota; Viridiplantae; Streptophyta; Magnoliopsida; Fabales; Fabaceae.
AUAAGAAGGCUUGGAAGAGAAAGAAAAAGGGACCUUUUGACAGACGAACGAAAGCAUUACAGUGGAGAAGAUAGCGAAUACGACGGAUUCGAAGACGGCGAGAUUCAAGGGUAGCCACCAUUGAAGAUCAAACUCUCCUAAUUCUUUGUAAUGUCUAAUCUUUACUUUAUGAAUUCUUUAAGUACUAUGAGAGGCUAAACCCCCU